GUUUACUAAAAUGUUUGUAUUCUUGUUAAAUUUGAAAUAGCGAGCAAGAACGCGUUUUGAGCUCACAAUGAUCACUAGCUCUCAACAUAAAAACAUUUGCGUGACCCCACUUGUGACGUACAUGCAUAUCCUGAAUAAUCCAAGAUGGCUGACAGCAACAUCAUGAUCAAAACACUGUUAAAGGUCGGUAUUGAUUAUUCGUAAGGCUCGUUUAAGCGAGGCAAACUAAAGUUUUACUGCCAAUGUCCUUUAAUUAUUUUUCAUUUAAUAUUAUAGGCUGUAAAACUUCAUUCUCCGUCCAUGAAUUAUCUUAUUCAUUCUCCAAUAUUUGCUGCCUAAAGUUGUAAGCAAUGCUGCCCAGC
Molecule: non-coding RNA, 362 nt
Organism: Paramuricea clavata
Lineage: Eukaryota; Metazoa; Cnidaria; Anthozoa; Malacalcyonacea; Plexauridae
Source: the annotation of a GenBank genome assembly